RNAcentral lists this ribosomal RNA (292 nucleotides) under Candidatus Bostrichicola ureolyticus. RNAcentral describes it as "partial 16S ribosomal RNA". It matches the Rfam family "Bacterial small subunit ribosomal RNA", at positions 1 to 257 of the family's 1533-position model. The record is from RNAcentral. Lineage: Bacteria; Pseudomonadati; Bacteroidota; Flavobacteriia.
ACAACGGAGAGUUUGAUCCUAGCUCAGGAUGAACGCUAGCGGCGGACUUAACACAUGCAAGUCGAGGGGCAGCAUAAAUAAAUAAAUUUUUUAUUUAUUUGAUGGCGACCGGCGAACGGGUGAGUAACACGUACGUAAUCUACCUUUUGCAAGAAAAUAGGCUGAGGAAACUUAGAUUAAUGUUCUAUAAUAUAAUAAUGUUGGAUAACAUUAUUAUUAAAGCUUAAUUUAAAUAUUAAUUUAAAUUUUGUGGCAAAAGAUGAGCGUGCGUCUGAUUAGUUAGUUGGUAAGG